GUAAGUCAAUGAAUCAGUCACAUCAUUUCAGCACACUGAAGAGUGGACCUAGCAGAAAAGAAUUCUGACAAGCUGAGCUUCAAGAACACCUGCAUAAGAACUCUGCUCACAAAUGAAAAUAAGAAAGAAGUCUGGGAAACUGCCAGCUCCUUGCAGAAAGACUGAAACGUGAUCGGCAGAGAAGGGUGUUGGUGUCGACAUUUGAGGAUGCAGUCAAGUCAAUGGAGUUCUGUUGUAGUGGUUGCUUCAGUGAACAUUCAACGCUGUCGGUGAGUUUGGAAUUAAAGUGAAAACCAUCGACCGUUGAUUGUACCCUCCAGCUAACCAUCCUCCUCCUUACUUCAUGCUUUCAGGCCUUAACACCGAAGAUAGCAACCUAACCAUCACAUGAUGUUUCUCCCUCACCCUGCCAAGCUUUAUAAAAAGGUCACAAUCAACAUUCAUUGCUGUCGGUGGGUUUAACUAU
Molecule: long non-coding RNA, 466 nt
Filed under: Serinus canaria (Common canary)
Lineage: Eukaryota; Metazoa; Chordata; Aves; Passeriformes; Fringillidae
Description: lncRNA (ENSSCAG00000011755.1)
Rfam family: mir-181 microRNA precursor family (bases 242-324)
Source: RNAcentral